GACGAACGCUGGCGGCGUGCUUAACACAUGCAAGUCGAACGGAAAGGCCCUGCUUUUGUGGGGUGCUCGAGUGGCGAACGGGUGAGUAACACGUGAGUAACCUGCCCUUGACUUUGGGAUAACUUCAGGAAACUGGGGCUAAUACCGGAUAGGAGCUCCUGCUGCAUGGUGGGGGUUGGAAAGUUUCGGCGGUUGGGGAUGGACUCGCGGCUUAUCAGCUUGUUGGUGGGGUAGUGGCUUACCAAGGCUUUGACGGGUAGCCGGCCUGAGAGGGUGACCGGCCACAUUGGGACUGAGGUACGGCCCAGACUCCUACGGGAGGCAGCAGUGGGGAAUAUUGCACAAUGGGCGGAAGCCUGAGGCAGCAACCCCGGGUGCGGGAUGACGGCCUUCGGGUUGUAAACCGCUUUCGCCUGUGACGAAGCGUGAGUGACGGUAAUGGGUAAAGAAGCACCGGCUAACUACGUG
RNAcentral lists this ribosomal RNA (468 nucleotides) under uncultured bacterium. Its description in RNAcentral is "partial 16S ribosomal RNA". It matches the Rfam family "Bacterial small subunit ribosomal RNA", at positions 28 to 507 of the family's 1533-position model. The record is from RNAcentral.